Molecule: ribosomal RNA, 429 nt
Filed under: Bacillota bacterium
Lineage: Bacteria; Bacillati; Bacillota
Description: Firmicutes bacterium partial 16S ribosomal RNA
Rfam family: Bacterial small subunit ribosomal RNA
Source: RNAcentral
UAGGGAAUCUUCGGCAAUGGACGGAAGUCUGACCGAGCAACGCCGCGCGAGUGAAGAAGGUUUUCGGAUCGUAAAGCUCUGUUGUUAGAGAAGAACGUUGGUAGGAGUGGAAAAUCUACCAAGUGACGGUAACUAACCAGAAAGGGACGGCUAACUACGUGCCAGCAGCCGCGGUAAUACGUAGGUCCCGAGCGUUGUCCGGAUUUAUUGGGCGUAAAGCGAGCGCAGGCGGUUCUUUAAGUCUGAAGUUAAAGGCAGUGGCUUAACCAUUGUACGCUUUGGAAACUGGAGGAAGAGAGUGCGGAAGGGGGGAGUGGAAUUCCAUGUGUAGCGGUGAAAUGCGUAGAUAUAUGGAGGAACAACGGUGGCGAAAGCGGCUCUCUGGUAUGAAACUGACGCGGAGGCUCGAAAGCGUGGGGAGCAAACAGG